Molecule: ribosomal RNA, 1418 nt
Filed under: Fonchiiloricaria nanodon
Lineage: Eukaryota; Metazoa; Chordata; Actinopteri; Siluriformes; Loricariidae
Description: partial 16S ribosomal RNA
Rfam family: Bacterial large subunit ribosomal RNA
Source: RNAcentral
GCUAAAUAUCUAGCUUAAAAACACAAACUAUACAACAACAUACAACACUUUCACUAAACCAAGACCAUAAAAAUAAAACAUUCUCCCGCCCUAGUAUGAGUGACAGAAAAGGCCCCAUAAGCUAUAAUUAUAGUACCGUAAGGGAAAGAUGAAAAAGAAAUGAAACAAACCAUUUAAGCCCACUAAAGCAGAGCCUAGCCCUCGUACCUUUUGCAUCAUGAUUUAGCCAGCCACCCUGAGCAAAGAGCCCUUUAGUUCACCACCCCGAAACUAGGUGAGCUACCCCGAGACAGCCUAAUGAAGGGCGAACCCAUCUCUGUGGCAAAAGAGUGGGAAGAUCUCCAGGUAGAGGUGAUAAGCCUACCGAACCUAGUUAUAGCUGGUUGCCUAAAAAAUGAAUAGAAGUUCAGCCCCGCCCUCCCCCCUUCACAAAAAGUUAUAACUGACUCAAGAACUAGGGUAAUAGGCGGGAGUUAGUCAGAGGGGGUACAGCCCCUCUGAAAAGGGAUACAACCCUCCCAGGAGGUUAAAGAUUAUACUAAAUAAGACUCCUGCACUAGUAGGCCUAAAAGCAGCCACCUAAACAGAAAGCGUUAAAGCUCAAGCAGACUAAAAAUCCAUUAUUCCAAUAAUUUUAUCCUAAACCCCUAAAUUAUAUUAGGCCACUCUAUGCAACCAUAGAAGCGAUACUGCUAAAAUGAGUAAUAAGAAGGACCCCCCCCCUUCUCCUGGCCCACGUGUAAACUAGAACGGACCCCCCACUAGCUAUUAACGAACCCACCUAAAGAGGGCAAUAUGACUACAAAAAUAACCAAGAAAAAAUCAUAAUAUUUAAUCGUUACCCCAACACUGGAGAGCCCAUAAGGAAAGACUAAAAGAAAAGGAAGGAACUCGGCAAACACAAGCCUCGCCUGUUUACCAAAAACAUCGCCUCCCGAAAAAUAAAACAUAUGGGAGGUCUUACCUGCCCAGUGACUAUAAGUUAAACGGCCGCGGUAUUUUGACCGUGCAAAGGUAGCGCAAUCACUUGUCUUUUAAAUGAAGACCCGUAUGAAUGGUGAAACGAGGGCUUAGCUGUCUCCCCUUUCUGGUCAAUGAAAUUGAUCUGCCCGUGCAGAAGCGGGCCUAAUAUCACAAGACGAGAAGACCCUUUGGAGCUUAAGAUAAUAAACCAACUAUGUUAAUAAUUAAAAUAACCUAAACUAAAUAGCCCUGGUUUACAUCUUCGGUUGGGGCGACCACGGGAAAAAAUAAAACUCCCAAGAAGAUAGGGAAUACCCUAAAGCCAAGAGAGACAUCUCUAAGACGCAGAACAUCUGACUAAUAGAUCCGGCUACCUGCCGACCAACGAACAAAGUUACCCCAGGGAUAACAGCGCAAUCCCCUUCCAGAGUCCAUAUAGACAAGGGGGUUUAGGA